This 286-nucleotide ribosomal RNA is filed under the name uncultured Erysipelothrix sp. RNAcentral's name for it is "partial 16S ribosomal RNA". It matches the Rfam family "Bacterial small subunit ribosomal RNA", at positions 1095 to 1382 of the family's 1533-position model. Lineage: Bacteria; Bacillati; Bacillota; Erysipelotrichia; Erysipelotrichales; Erysipelotrichaceae. The record is from RNAcentral.
AGCGCAACCCUUGUCUUUAGUUACCAUCAUUCAGUUGGGGACUCUAGAGAGACUGCCGGUGAUAAACCGGAGGAAGGUGGGGAUGACGUCAAAUCAUCAUGCCCCUUAUGGCCUGGGCUACAAACGUAAUACAAUGGCGUAUACAAAGGGAUGCGAAGUGGUGACAUGGAGCUAAACUCACAAAGUACGUCUCAGUUCGGAUUGAAGUCUGCAACUCGACUUCAUGAAGCUGGAAUCGCUAGUAAUCGCGGAUCAGCAUGCCGCGGUGAAUACGUUCUCGGGGUUU